RNAcentral lists this ribosomal RNA (432 nucleotides) under uncultured bacterium. Its description in RNAcentral is "partial 16S ribosomal RNA". It matches the Rfam family "Bacterial small subunit ribosomal RNA", at positions 29 to 507 of the family's 1533-position model. The record is from RNAcentral.
AGCGAACGCUGGCGGCAGGCCUAACACAUGCAAGUCGAACGAACUCUUCGGAGUUAGUGGCGGACGGGUGAGUAACACGUGGGAACGUGCCUUUUUGUUCGGAAUAACUCAGGGAAACUUGUGCUAAUACCGAAUGUGCCCUUCGGGGGAAAGAUUUAUCGCCAUUAGAGCGGCCCGCGUCUGAUUAGCUAGUUGGUGAGGUAACGGCUCACCAAGGCGACGAUCAGUAGCUGGUCUGAGAGGAUGACCAGCCACACUGGGACUGAGACACGGCCCAGACUCCGACGGGAGGCAGCAGUGGGGAAUCUUGCGCAAUGGGCGAAAGCCUGACGCAGCCAUGCCGCGUGAAUGAUGAAGGUCUUAGGAUUGUAAAAUUCUUUCACCGGGGACGAUAAUGACGGUACCCGGAGAAGAAGCCCGGCUAACUUCGUG